GAAGGCAGCAUGCUGGGAAAUACUGACGCUCAUGGACGAAGCGUGGGGAGCGAACGGGAUUAGAUACCCCGGUAGUCCACGCUGUAAACGAUGGAUACUAGUUGUUGGAGGGCUCGAACCCUUCAGUGACGACGCUAACGCAAUAAGUAUCCCCGCCUGGGGAGUACGGUCGCAAGACUAAAACUCGAAGGAAUAGACGGGGACCCACACAAGCGGUGGAGCACCUGGCUUAAUUCGAUAUUGAGCGAGGAACCUUACCUGGGCUUGACAUCCCGAGAAUCUUCUGGAAACAGAGGAGUGCCUUACGGAACUCGGUGACAGGUGUUGCAUGGUUGUCGUCAGCUCGUGCCUUGAGGUGUUCGGUUAAGUCCGUAAACGAGCGCAACCCAUGUCUUGUGUUGCAAUUUUCACAAGAGACUGCCGAUUCAAAGUCGGAGGAAGGUAUGGAUGACGUCAAAUCAGCAUGACCCUUAUGCCCAGGGCUGCACAGGUGCUACAAUGGACGGUACAAUGGGUAGCAAUGUCGUAAGACGGAGCCAAUCCCUAAAACCGUUCUAAGUUCGAAUUGAGGGCUGCAACUCGCCCUCAUGAAGUUGGAAUCGCUAGUAAACGCGGAUCAGCAAUGGCGCGUUGAAUAUGUUCCUGGGUCUUGUACUCACCGCCCGUCAAGUCAUGAAAGGUGGGAGCACCCGAAGUACCCUUAGCUUUUAGCGGGGUCCUAAGGUGAGAUCACUGAUUGGGACUAAGUCGUAACAAGGUAUACCGUAGGAGAACCUGCGGCUGGAUCACG
This 790-nucleotide ribosomal RNA is filed under the name uncultured bacterium. Its description in RNAcentral is "bacterial SSU rRNA". It matches the Rfam family "Bacterial small subunit ribosomal RNA", at positions 717 to 1526 of the family's 1533-position model. The record is from RNAcentral.